Molecule: ribosomal RNA, 192 nt
Filed under: uncultured bacterium
Lineage: Bacteria
Description: partial 16S ribosomal RNA
Rfam family: Bacterial small subunit ribosomal RNA
Source: RNAcentral
AACUCGCCUACAUGAAGUCGGAAUCGCUAGUAAUCGCGGAUCAGCAUGCCGCGGUGAAUACGUUCCCGGGCCUUGUACACACCGCCCGUCACACCAUGAGAGUUUGUAACACCCAAAGCCGGUGGGGUAACCUUUUGGAGCCAGCCGUCUAAGGUGGGACAGAUGAUUGGGGUGAAGUCGUAACAAGGUAAC